This 403-nucleotide ribosomal RNA is filed under the name uncultured Acidimicrobiales bacterium. RNAcentral describes it as "partial 16S ribosomal RNA". It matches the Rfam family "Bacterial small subunit ribosomal RNA", at positions 355 to 774 of the family's 1533-position model. The record is from RNAcentral. Lineage: Bacteria; Bacillati; Actinomycetota; Acidimicrobiia; Acidimicrobiales.
UUAGGAAUCUUGCGCAAUGGGCGAAAGCCUGACGCAGCGAUGCCGCGUGCGGGAUGAAGGCCUUCGGGUCGUAAACCGCUUUCAGCAGGGACGAUAAUGACGGUACCUGCAGAAGAAGCCCCGGCCAACUACGUGCCAGCAGCCGCGGUAAUACGUAGGGGGCGAGCGUUGUCCGGAUUUAUUGGGCGUAAAGAGCUCGUAGGCGGUUUGGUAAGUCGGGUGUGAAAUCUCCACGCUCAACGUGGAGGGGCCACUCGAUACUGCCAUGACUCGAGUCCGGUAGAGGAGUGUGGAAUUCCCGGUGUAGCGGUGAAAUGCGCAGAUAUCGGGAGGAACACCCGUAGCGAAGGCGGCACUCUGGGCCGGAACUGACGCUGAGGAGCGAAAGCGUGGGGAGCAAACA